UUUCCAGCUUGGCAGGAGAACGCGGAAGUGGGUAUUGGAGGGAUUCGCUGUUGCUCUAGGGCCCCUCACCAUGCUGGCCAGGUGCCGCGCUGAGUUUCCUGCGGGCAGAGCCAUCAUCUUUCGUGGUCGUUAUGCUUGGAAUUAUCAGAGAUAUAAUUCCCCGUGUUCUGCCUCUGUGCUCCCAACCACCGUCUCCUUGCUGGCCGCAAGGCACUGCGACAUGAAUCUAUGAAAGAUACAACCAACUCAGAGAAUCUUGAAGAAAUGGACAGAUUCUGAUGCACAUGUCAAUGACAAAUGAUGAACCCAGAAGACAGCAAAGCUCUGGAAAAUCUGAUUACUAACAGUGAAAUUGAGGCAGUCAUAAUCUUCCUACCAAGAUAGGGGUGGGACCUGAGGGACUCACUGCUGGACUCAACUAGAGCUCUGGGGGGUUGGAGUCCAGAGGUCCCCAAGGGCACAGCGACUCUUCAGAGCGCCGCUUCUGCCUCUUGGCCAGCUUCCAGACUGUGCCCUACUGUGCUCCCUCACACCUCCACUCCCCACUCCGAUCACAGCCGACUUGUCCUAAAAAACUCAUUUUACCUUUGCCGCAAGAGCACGCUUGUAUUUCCCACCUGUCGUCCUAUGUUGAGGGGACUGCGGUGAGGGUUUCAUCUCUGGGACUUGCCGAGGAGACAUCGAGAGGGUGAGGAGCACAGACCAAAGUGGCCGGGCCCUGUGUUCAGCCAGGGUCCCAACCAGGCUGAGGAUGGAGGACCUGCAGAGCUGCCCACACCGUAGCUGGAACAUGGGCUUUCCCCAGGCAUCCCUUGCCCUUGCCAUGGCUCUGUCCCAGCCAAGAGGAGGACACGUGGCCUUGCAGGUUUCCUGUUUGGGCACACUGGCAGCUGUGUAGUGUGGCAGUGGGACACACAGUGGCUGGUUUUUGGGGCACUGGUGGGCAUGGACAGUGUGAAUUCUGCUCUGCUGUACAUUCCUUCCAUGCAGCCCCCACGAAAACAUUUGGUUUUCACUGCCUGAAACAUUCUUCCCCGAGCUCUUCACAAGGAAUGUCUCCUCCCCUAGGCCCUACCCAGGUGUCUGCUCCUCAACGAGGACUCCACUGUCAGGUGGUCCCUGAGAGGCAAGAGCUGCACAAGCUGUGGUGUCUUCUCCACAGUGGUCACACUGGGGCCUUGACAAGGGGACACUGAUGAAUAUAGUGGAGUUGCUGGAGAGAAGUAAAUAGGCAUGGAGGACUCAAGAUCUCCUUGGGUAACUGAGAAAUGGGUAUAUGCAGAAAAAGAGGGAAGGUUUGCCUCCAAUGCAGUGCCUGUGAGGUAAGGCAUGUGCCUGGAAGCGUUACAGCAAACAGAAACUCUGAAACAUCACCCAGAAUUUGGAGACAGAUUUAUUUACAUCAACAGGCACUGACAAGGAAUUAACCCUUAUGAAAAUGUCAGGCCCUCAUCUCAGGUGAUCUAGGGCCUAUAUGGAGUUUCCAAGUGGGAAGUAUACAGGAGCAGAGUACUUGAUUGUCUUUGAUUAGUUCUUAUACUAUGCAGGACAGUGACCAGUUGUUUCUAAGAAACAGAAGGAACAGGAACUGUAACUGGAACUGUUACCUUGCAACUAACAAAAAAUGAAGUAUACUGGCUGGGUUGUGGGAAGGGGUUUCUGCUACAGAAGCAUUCAGUUUCUUGUGCUGAAUUCCUACCCAUGCUCAACCAUGGAUUGGCCAUAAAAUAAGGUCUUGGGCCAGUUCUGUAGACCCUGGAGCUCAGCAAACUCUUCAGUCAGUGCGAAUAGCUUCACCUGCAUCAUGAAGCAGUCGGGAAGACUGAGGUAAUCUGUGUCAGGCACAUGAAACAGGGUCUGGGUAGCAAUGAGUGUUACUGUUCGUGGAAUCUAAGAAGUGCUGCGCAGAGCAGCAAUGCCCAGGGUCAGGGCUGCGCAGCACAGGUGACAGUUGUAUGGAGGUACUAACUCUGAUGGUUGUGUGAGGGACCUAGUGCACCUUCUUGAAUUUCCCUUCCUUGGCCUGACUCCGUCUUUUCUCAUUGCUGAGCAAAAUACCCAAUACGCACAAGUUAAAGGAGGAAAGGUUUAUUUAGCUCACAGUUUGUAGGUUUCAGUCUAUAGUCGCUGGUUCCAAGACAGGGUGGCUUUACAGAGGGACAUCAUGGAGGAAAAACAGUCCAUGGUGGGGCAGGCAAGACAUGGCAAGAAACAACCAGCAGUGAUCCUGCCUUCCCUCUCCUUUUAUAUUCAGGCUACAAACCUACGGGUAGGUGCCACCCCGCCCACAGUGGGGCUUCCUUUACCCACACCCAGAACUGUGUAAUUCCAGUCAGUGAAGUAAUCUAGUGCCAUAUACCCUUCAUCCCAGUAUUGCAUGUCCUGGGUCCAGCCAGCUCCAAAAGCCCCACCUGUGUGAGCAUGCGGCUUUGGAGGAGGCAGGAGGACAGGAGGCAUAACUCUCACCCAGGGCCCCAGUUUGAGUGACCAGAGCUCUCUGUUGUUUGGGUUCCUCAUGUCCAGUCUGGUCCUCUGUGCUGACCCUGGUGAGGGUGGGCUCUGGUGGUGCUAGCCUCUGGCGAGGCUCAGGUCUGCUGUUGGGGGCCCGGCCUCCUCUCCCUGCUGUCCCUCUGAGCGGCUAGCUCUUCCUGGAUGGGCACUGGCCAACAUCACAGUUGACAGUUCAUGUACUUAGAAUCACAGAGUGUUACUUUUUUGCGUAACAUCUUUGUGUUCAUGUACACUGAGCAGGCUUCGGUGUUUCAUUGCUUUGCUUAGCUGAAUAAUGUUCCCCCUAGGCAUAUACUGCAAUUUGUUUACCAUUUAUCCACUGAUGGGCACUCUUUUUUCACCUUUGGUGGUGGUGAACAGUGAUGCUGUGAGCACACCUGUGUAUCUGUGUAACACGAUGACCACUGUCGAUUCUUUUGGAUACACAAGAACUCAUCAACUUGUAGCUCCAGCUUCCUAAUUCUAAUUUUUGUCAAUUUCAUAUAUAAAGUGAAAAAAUGUAGCAACUACUUGUGCAAAAGAUUUUUGGAGGAUCACAUUUAUAGCCUUACAAUCUACCUUUAACUUAAUCUACAAGUUUAUCUCAUAGUUUUGCUCACCAUGUAUGUAUUUGUGUGUCAGUGUCUGAGUGUCAUGUGUAUUAAUGUCCCCUGGCUUAUUCAUAUCAGUAUUAGCAGAUUUUAUAUAAAAUACCAUUUCUAGGUCAAAGAGAUCCUGCUUCUUCCUGUAAGUGCUAACUCAGAAGGGUUAUUUGGAAAUCUGCAAACACAGAAGUGUAGCUAUUCUCAGUUACAUGUCAAUACCAGUGUUUCUCUCUUCAGGACAAGUGAGAGCAAAUGAGGAGGAGUCUUUGUCUUUUGUUGCUAACGUGUAGUUACUGUGACGCGACGUGAAUAACUGGAGCAGCUCAGGUGCAGACCACUCACUGAUGCAGAGAAACUUCUUGAAGAGGAACGCUGAUGGCCACUUCGCACAGGAUGGUUCCUCCUGCCUCUGCCUGUGUAUUGGCAGCGGCCUGCCUAGUAAUGUCAUCAUGCUCUUAGUCGUUAGUGGGAGUUCUGAAACCUCAGUCCCUCCACACAUCUUUGAAAGUGUGUGGGUCAAAGUAAAACAUCUGUGAAAAACUGUUUUUUAUUUUCAGUGAAGCAGUUUGAGGCUCUUGCCAGAGAUGCUCUAGCAGGCCCUUCCUCGCAUUUCGACAGAAGAGUUACAGCAGUGACUCCUAGGAGGGCACGGGUAAGACGUGGCCCUGGGGAGGAGGAAACCCUGCCCAGGGUCCCCAGCUCGCAGCAGCCAGAAGCGCAGCCCGCCUGGCUGCACAGUGAUGAAGGGCGCUGGAUUCUUUCCUGGGCUUUUCAGCUGGGAGCACCUGACCAGCGAGAGAGGCGUGCUAAGGUGAAUUUUAAUUAGGACUAAAUUGUGGUAUUACUCUUUCCUACCCUGAACAUCUGUUCCCUUCAGAAAUGAUGAUUUAUGCAGGCUAUCAGAGCAGACAGCCUGCUUCAGCUUAUGUCACGGGAGCUGUCCGAGGAGCCAGCGUUGGAUGGAGGCUGGCCAGGGCGAGGCGGGGAGCGGGGAGGCGGCCCGGCGUGUCCGUGUUCAUUCGGAAGCCAGACAGUGACUGGACUUCAAGGAAAAACUGUUUGACCAUCUGGCGUUGAUGAAGACGGCGCCUCGGAUAGUGAGCGGCUGCCGCUUCCUCCGGAUGGCCAGGCUUGCGGUGUGUGCUGGGCAGGGGCCGAAGACGCGGGUCUGAGUUGAGCUGCUCACAGUGGCUGCGGCAGGAAGGGGAGGCAAUUCCUGUUGAACCUGGAAUAGGAGUCAGAUCUCAGAGGUUUUAUGGCUUUAGAAAUGGCCACGCCCCUCCCCCUCCAAACGGCAGGAUCAGCUAAUAAGCUCCAAUCUGCAGGAAGACAUUACACCUGAGUAAAAGGCCACCUGUCUGGAAGUGUGCUUACUGCAAGCUUACCCAAUUAUUUUAGCAAAGCAAUGAUGUUUCUUUGGUUAACGUAACUGACCGUUUACUUAGUAAAAAGCUGCGCCUGUGCUGGCAGGGCUUUACUGCUGGGCUAAGUAUUAAUGAGGUGCUUAGAUGGAGGCCAGCCGACUGGCUUCCCAUCUUAGAUCUGCCUCUUUUCGUGGGGAAUAAAAAGACCUGAAAGCACCCUCAAUUCUUGGCAGAAUAAUCGCAGGCUAAGCAGAGUCUGAAACAACUAUAGUUUUACUUAAAAGCGAUCCUUUACAUUUAAAAAUAUAUUGGGGUGGGCAUGAGGAAAACUGCAUGACAUUCUGAAGAAAUAGGGUUUGAAUCCUCUCUAAUAUAUGCUGUGUUCCUUCAAAGGUUUUGAGUGUCAUUUACACACCAUCCUUGAUAUUUAAAAGUAACUAAUGGGUUCAGUGUGGUGGGACACACCUGUCAUCCAGCACGUGGGAGGCUGAGGCUGGAGGAUUCCUGUAAGAUCUAGGUCAACCAGGGCUACAAAGGGAAUUCAAGGCCAGCCUGAACUAAAUAUCAAAAGCCCCUCUCAAGAAACAAACAAAA
This is a long non-coding RNA of Cavia porcellus (domestic guinea pig), 5053 nucleotides long. RefSeq lists it as uncharacterized. NCBI's taxonomy places the organism in Eukaryota, Metazoa, Chordata, Mammalia, Rodentia, Caviidae. The record is from RefSeq and is a predicted model, not a curated record. The transcript is spliced from 2 exons.